UUUUUUUUUUGGGCAAAACGUUUCGACGCUUGUCCCACCGCAAAAUCUUUUAUUUAUAGGGACAAAUUAAAAUCAAAGUCUCGUGAGAUCAAAAGAAAAGCAAAAUCUUCGCCAGAGAAAUAAAUCAAAAGAAGAAUCAAUGGACGGAACCUGCGAGUCAAGCACCACCUGCACCUUGCCAGACUACGGAGACAUCAUCAGUGUGAAUUUAGGUUCUCAUACGAUUGUAAGCGUUUUCCCUGCGCGGAGAUCUUACGAGAACUUAAAUAUUUAUUAGAUCAUACCAUGGGAAUAGUUGAUUGUUGAUAUAUAUAUACAUCAGCUAUUCAGAUUGCUAUUUACUAGUAAAUCUAUUGUUUGGGUGUUGAAAAAAAUAAAUAUUGCUUCUGGGUUUCUCGUGUGGAGUUGAUCUUCUUUUUUUGAUCUUCAGAUUCAACUUUUGUGACUGUAAAAAAAAUAACAAGACUUUGUUUAUGUUUUUGCAAAUUAUUAUUAUUUUUUUUGUUUAGAUUUACUUUUGCCAAUGUUUUUUUCUUUCUCAACUGUUAUUUUUAUCGGUGAAUUAGCUCAAUAACCAAUUUUGUACCCAAAAUUAAGCUUAUACCCAUUUGUUUUUGUGCAAAGAUAACUUUCAUUCAUCUAAAUCCUCAUAAGAGGUGAGUUCAUACAGCUAAAACUUAAAGGAUUACAUGAAAGAUAAGGAUAAAGGUUCCAUGAGUUUUUCAAGAUGUAUAGCUUCAAGAAGAUGGCAAAGACUGGAAGAUCUUUUGGAACCUGUAAGGAUUCAAAUUUGAAGACUAGCUUCGCGAAAUCCCGUAUCAGCUAGUGAUCAUAAUAAGCUCGCACGAUUGAACGCAUAAGAGCUUUUGUAGAAGUUCUCCAUGUAGGAGGCUGCGGGUGGAGACUUUUUCCCAAUGCCAAAAUAAGGUUCCGGCGAUGGUAUCUCCUUAGAGGAGUAAGUUUGCUGGAUUCGCCAAAGAAUAUCACAAGUCCAAAACGCAGAAAAUGCAGUGGAACUUGGAUAGAUUUUUCGAGGCGGUUUUAUCCAAAAGGUUCGAGAGGGUUGGGAUGCUUCACCCAUUAGUCUGGGGGCGCCAUAGUUAGGCUUGCUAGUGGGAAUAUCCAUACUCAAUAUAUAUUCACAUAUAAGAGCCGAUGCUUGAGUCGCAUCACAACAUCUAAGGUUUGAGAAAAAUACUAAUCCACUGAGCUUGAAAAUUAGAGUUGCAUCCGGUGAUAAAUAACCAGCACUAUCCAUCAGGUUUCGAUAAUUGAAUAAGCAAAUCUCCUCUAAAGGCAUUGUUCCUAGAAUUGAAUGGAGUCCUCGACCAUUCUUUUGCGAGAAACAAGAUUUUAGAGAAAGGCUUUGCAAAGUUAUAGAGAAAUCAGACCUGGAUAUGGGCCACAAGGGAGUUAUUGGGCCACAGCAGAAGAUGAGGCCCAUCCAAACAAACCCUAGUGUUGGUGUUGUCGGGAGAAGGAAAACGCAGUCGCCGCCGUUGUGAAGAAUAAAAAGUGAUGGUCGGCGGUGAAGCAUAAAGAGAGAUCACCUGCCAGCGUUUGAGCUCGUCGUGUGCCGUCGACGUUCCCACCGGAAAAAACACAUCUGAUGGACCAAGAGAUACUCCUGCCAUCAACGAAAUCCGGUGAAAAGGAGCCAUAAAUGGCGUCGGUGCUAGUCCAGAUCUAGAGACUAUUGUUAUGUCGAUGAAGCCUUGCUCUGAUGUUUGAGGGGAGGAGCCGUUGGACUGUUGUGAAGCUUCUGGUUUUGGGUUCGAAGACAAAGAUGCAUCCAAAAUCUGCUUCAGAUCGGAGCCAAUAGAGCAUUGAUUUACUCUUCCGUCGCAAAAAGAACCCUCAGGGAAGAAGACCACAUGAAAAAGGGAUUUGGAUAUUUCGAGAGAUUUGAGUAAACGAAAAGAGAAAUAAGGAAGAAAAAGCUUAAACAGAGCAAAAGAAGGUUGAUAAGAGUUGACAGAUCCCGACGCCGGCGAGCAGAAGCACCACCGGCGUCGGAAGGCAUGGUUGAAGAGAUUGUCUCGAUUUCCGUGGCUGGGAGCGUUUUUGUGGUUCUCUUAUACCCAUCUAAUAUUCAUAAUUCAGCAAAUAACCAUGUUAAUUGAAUUUGGACCAAAAUGCUUUUGUAUUUACGUUUGCAAAAUUGAGAAGAUAGAGAAGCGAGUGGACAUCAGAGAGAAAGAGGAACGGUGAUCAGACAAAAUAGAAAGGAAGAUCCACAGACGGAUAUCGGGAGAGAGAUACACCGGGGGGAAGAAGAAGGUAGAGAUCCACUAGUUAGAGAGAGGUAGAGAAGAGAUCCAUUAAUAAUAAAGAAGAGACUAGGCGGUGGUUGUGACGGAGAUCCGGUGGCGGCUAUGAUGGAAGUCCGGUGGCGGCUAUGAUGGAAGUCCGGUGGCCGCUGUUACGAGGAGAUGCAACAUCCAUAGGAGAGAUGGGUGAAGAGUUUGAAUCACAAACAAGGGGUAAAAUUGUCCCAUAUACAUGAAAUACAGCGUAUAACAACUCGUUUUUUUGGAGAAUUGCUAGUUACUUAAUUAAUGUUUUUUUGUGUGCCAGUUUUGCAAAUUUUCCUAUUUUUAUUAAUAAUAGAGAAAUUGGAGUGUAUAACCAACAAAAAAACUUUAAUUAAGUAACUAACCUAAGACAAAAAAAAGCUGAUAUUCUGUAUAUUACUUAUAAUAUAUCCUAAAAUACCCUUCACCCUUUGGUUCAUGGUUCACCUAUCUUUUUCACUGUCUUCUCUUUUUUUUUUUUUUUCUCUAUUUCUUAUUAGUCUGUGCAACUCAAAUAUUUUUUUUCUGCUUUGGUGAACCAUAUGCCUUCAAAUCUAAUUCGUUUAUUUUUUAAUUAUACCUUUGAUUCAUUGAAAUUUUUUAAAUAUAGAGAUGUUUAUGAUUCGGGUGAUGAUUCCAUUUCUUUCACCAUCAAUUUUGGCAAACUCUUUACGAAUCUCAACGUAGAACUUAAACCAUUGUUAGAAAACUUAAAUCUAUUACUAUUCUAUUUAAUUAAAGUCUACACUAUAUAUUUUUUUUCACCAAGAUUCAAGUGGGAAACUUCCCAAGAGUUGAGACUCAAUUAUGUUUUUUCUUCUCCUUCCUGGACUCACACAUCCUCUCAAUCUAAUUUAUCAUAUUCUGUUUAAAUUUUCUUGAAUCCAUCACAUUCACAUCUAUCCUUAUCCUUUCUCUCAUUCUAUUCUAUUUAUCAAGUCUAUGCAUAUGUUAUUGAUAUAGUAUAAGAUGUUUCUAUUCUAUUUAUCAAGUCUGCGCAUGUGUUAUUGAUACUGUAUAAGAUGUUUCUUACAACUAACAAAUUUAACGCUAAACAAAUAUGUAAUUAAGAUGAUCAAGAACUAUAUAUACUGUUUAAAUUGAUACUAUACUAUUAUUUUUGACUUGCAUUUAAAUUUAUCUUUUGGGUUCCCUAUAUAGUAUCUCUUAGGGUAUAGUUUUUUUUCGGCGUGUAUUCAACAUAUAUUUCUCAAAAGGUUGAUAUACUUAUUUUUUAAAAAGAUAAAAUGUAAAAAACAUAAAUUUUGGAUUUUGAGUUUAUUCAUAAGUUUGAAUUUUUUUCCUUCAAUUGUUAUAUUUUAUUUUUAAAUUUGUUUUUGAUUUUUAAUAUGUUUAUAUAGAAUGUUUUAUGUUCUAUACUGUAUUUUUUGUGUGUUUUGCAUAGAAUGAAACGUUUGAUUUAUAACCACUUUUUUAUAUUGUAAAACAUUAAUAUCCAUUUAAAAAAUUCAAAACACAUUACAUUGAGAAUUUUUUUUAUGUUUCUUUAAAUAUAAUAUGGAGUUUGAAUCAAUUUGUUUUAUGAAAUUACAGCAAAACAAAACUGAAGGGAAGUAAGUAAAUAAUUUAUCCAAUAAAAUAGAAUAAACACCCUACGUGGCUCAUAGUCUCUCUCGUGGCAGUUUUUCACACCAAAUGAGGGCAUUUUCGUCCUAACCGAAACGAAAUGGUUACUUAUUUUGUUUCUCACUUCAACGUGCUAUAUUCUUAAUUUCUUUUGUCAUUUUGGUUAUACAGCUAAUUCACCCUUAAUAAUAUAGGGUAAACUACACCAAAACAAGCCUAAAAAAAAAAAAACUAUACCAAAACAAGCCUUAAAACAUUACAAAUUACAAGAAAACUAUUACAGCCGAAGAGAGGCCCAUUUGGCACACCUCGUGAAGAAGGUUAUCUCCUCCCAUGAAACUGAUAUAGCAAAAGAGAAAGGAGUAAUGGACACGUGUAAGGCGGAGAUUAGAAUUUUGGAUCAACGGCUGAGAUCAUUGGAGCUCAAAAUUGUGAAGAAAGAUGCGUUAAAAGGAAGCAAAAACAGAUUUGGGAUCAUUCAUGAGAUUUGUGUCAAGUUUGUGAUCUUCUUCUUCAUCUGUUCUGAGAAUUCUAUGUGAGUUCUCAUGGUUAUUUCCUCAUUGUAGCUUGAGCUGUUUCUUCUUCUAUGUUCUAGCAAUUUGAGAAGUGAAUGCCGGUCCAAAGUUUCAAAAUUUUAUUUGAUACCCUAUGCAUAACUAAAAAUUUAGGCCUUUUUGUUAAUGUAAAAAAAAAAAUUCUCCCAAAAAAAAUAUUUUAUAAUGUGAGACCCUAAGCGAUGGCUUCACUUGCUUGCCCUCCGGACCGGCUCUGAGUGAAUCCUUGUUUCAUGAACAUCGGUUCAAUCUAUCGUUCGAUUUGUGUUUCAUAGAGAAAUUGUAGUUUCUCUGCAUCAGAAACACACGUGACAACCAAAUUAGGCAAAUACAUGUGUCGCAGGAGAACAUCUAAGCUUUUUCCGUCAACCUCCACUGCCUAAAACUUCUGAUCCGGUGAAUCAAAUCGUAGCCGAACAACACAUAUCUAAACGUCGAUUCAUCAGUUUUUCACCGAUUUACAGUUAAAGGGACAUGAUACAGAUUUUUAAUUUGAUAAACCCCUAACCACUUGCUUGAAAAUUGGAAGCUCCGGUAAAUAUAGCAGCAAAAGGCAUAUUUUAAUUUGCAAAGGAAAAAUAUCUUCUUUUUAAUUUCCUGGCUGCAACCAAAUCUGAAAUUUCCCAUAACCCGUAAAUCCAACAGUACAUGCCGGAAAAGAACCUUUACUUAAGCGAAAAGGAGUUUUCUAAAAAGCGAUUUAGGCUGUCGCUUAGAUCAUGUUUAGGUGUUAGAGUCAGGUGACACCUAGAUAAUCGUUUCGAUCGCCUAAAAUCGAAUAAGUUUUGUGUCAAUGUAUUUUUCAAUUUCUAACCACAAAAGUUGAAAUUAUAAGUUUUAGCUUUAUUUAUAUAUUGUUUGAUAUGAAUUAACAAAAUAUUUUUUUCUAAUUUUGUUUCUGAUUUAAUAUUUUUAUUUUUCUAAUAGAUAGUUUUAUAUGAUUUUUAUCUAUAAUAUCUUAGUAUAUAAAAUAUGGUUUUCAAGGUUAGUAACUCACAUGAUCGUAACACGUGUCAAAUAUAUCGAUUUCAGAUUUUAUCAUGUGUUAAAUUUUUAUUUUUAUUUUUAAUAACUAAAAAGAUAAAUAGAUAAUUAUCAGAAAAUUAUAAAUUUAAACUGUUUUAAAAUAUAAAAAUAUAAUUAUAAGGAAAUUAUAUCAAUAUUUUCAUAAGAGAUUUUGUCAUGUGACAAACACAAAUUUUGUUUUUAACAACUUAAAUAUUGUAAUAAGAUAAUUAUUACAAAAUUUUAAAUUUAAAUAUUUUUAAAUAUAUAAAAAUAUUAUUAUAAGAAAACUAUACGUAUAUAUAAUAAAAUAAUAUAUAUUUUCAUAAAAUCGAAAUUAUAAAAUUAUGCUAAACGUUUUAUUUAUAAGUAACUAACUGUAAAAGAAAAAAAAAAUUUUAAUAGUUUAAGGACUAAAAAAAUUAUAUAAACAUUUAUUAAUCGUAUAAGAAAAAUGAUUGUUAAUUCUUACUUUUAUAUAAACAAAUAGAUUGUCUCAUAAUUUCUUACCAAGCAAACUAAUUUUUUCAGAAUCAUCAUCAUUGCUUUCACUUCAUUCUAUUGCUAAAGCUUUUCUCUUUCUUUUUUUUGGUCAUAAAUUAAUUUUAGGCUAAUAUUAGUAACUAAUCUUUAACUCAAAAAUAAUUAAAGAAAUAUGCAUGAGUCAAAAAAACUUUGGAAACUAACAUUUUUAGAGAUGUGAAAAUUCAAAAAUUCCAAACAAAAGAUAAAAAUACAACAUCAUAUUGUAAUUUGAAAAAAAACAUUAAAUAAAUACUGAUAACACGAAAUAUAAGAAUAAAGAAAAUCAAUCCUAAAAUUCUGACGACCAAAUAGAGACAUCCACUGAGAAUCGUAAGAAAAAAACAAUGUCAUUUAAUAAAAUAGCAUGUCAUACUGAAAGAAAUAGAAGUAGCAUGUGAAUUGUUAUGGAGGUGACGAUGGUGGUGGUUACGAAUGUGAUGAUAAGGUGAUUUUAAAAAAUAACAUAAACAUAUGUUUACGUAACUCAGACUAUAUGUUUACAUAUUAUGCAUAUAUUGUUCAUAUGUUUACGUAACUAUAUAAUUUUAUCUUUUUCAUAGUCAUAAUUUUGUUUUCAUCUUGUCCGCAUUAAAAUUAUAAGGUGUAACGUCAAUAUAAGGUGUAACGUAACACACUUUUUCGAUGCGGUAAAUAAUUUAUAAAAUUCAGUAAUACAAAACAUUUAUGAAUAUCAUAACUUAUAAUAAACAUAUAAAUAUAUAAUUUUAUAAAUAAGGCUAACAUGUAUACGAGAUGAUUUAAUAAUUAAUAUAACAUAACUUCUUUAGUGUUAUAUCUAAAUUACGACAAUGAUUUCAUCAAACAUGUAUAUGAGAUGAUUUAAUAAUUAAUAUAAGCAAUGUACGAGAUUCUGCAUUUUAGGAUUCAAACAACUACCUUGGUUUUUGGAAAUCUGAAGUAUAUCAUCUGUAAUCUCCAGAGUAUUUUGUCCAAAUAGCCCUUCGGAACAACCUAUUAUCAGGUUACAAAUUUUUUACUUCAAUCUAUUGUGAGCAGAAAUAGAUGAUGAAUUGUAAUACAAAAAAAGAACAAAAAAAAAUCUCUAAAAAUAGCAAAUGAUGCAGUAUCACAAAUAACAGAACUUACCCAGAAAGCCUAGCAAAGUGCUUUUUGCGUUGUGCACCUUGAGAGCUUCGAAAAGACCCCAGAUCACAUUAUGUCCACCUAGAGCUUGCCUUCCACAAAACACAAUUCCAACUCUACAGUAGAAAAAGAACUAACUUAAGCUGAAUAUAACUUGAAUUAAACGUAAAAGCCAAUCCAGAAACAUAUAGAGAGAGAGCAAACAGAUCUACAAACCUAACUGAUGGAAGCUCGGUAAUGAUGUGAGCAUCAGCAACUUGAGCAGUUUCCCUAAGGAAGUGAGCCAAAGGCUGGCCUAAGGUAUGCGGGAAAGCUCGAGCCAUGGUAUGUGAAUCAGCAGCCUCAGCCACAGUUGUUCCAUCACCAAGCUCUACGCGGACAGUAGCAGGGGCGGACCCACUAAGGAGAGGGAGGUUAGCUGACCUGGUUAAUAAACUCCGAUACAUCGGAGAAACUAGAUCGGAAAAUGAGAGAAGAUCGAAGAAGAUAACAAACUUUUCUUAAACAUUCAAAUGUUUGUUACAACAACUUAAUCAUCAAAAUGAGAGUCAUUAAACUUAUAUACAUGGCAUUAAACCGAGUAUUAAUCUCAGCUCUGUAAACCGAAGUUAACCAAUAACAUUGGACCGGUUAUAUCCUCAAUACGCCCCCCUCAAGUCUCUAGCUUCGAAGUGUCUGAUGCGGAAGAAAGAGACUUGACAAAGACAUUUGACGAAGUAAGUGAUGAAACGGACCCGGAUGCAAAGCUUUGGUGAGUAUGUCAGCAUGUUGGUUCUCUGUUGGAACAUGUAAAGCUUUAAGAUUACCUGACUUGAUCUGGUCUCUCACCGUGUGACAAUCAAUCUCAAUGUGUUUCGUUCUUUCAUGGAAGACCGGAUUCAUGGAGAUGUGUAGAGCUGACUUAUUGUCACAAAACAAUUUUGCAGGACAAGUAACCCGAACAUGUAGAUCCUUGAGAAGUUGUUGAAGCCAGAUGAUCUCACAUGUAGCUUGUGCCAUACUUCUAUAUUCAGAUUCUGUACUGCUUCUACUUGUAACAGCCUGCUUCUUUGACUUCCAAGAAAUGAGAGAUGUUCCCAAAUAAACACAGAAUCCUGUUAUAGAUCGUCUUGUAUCUUUACAGGCAGCCCAAUCAGCAUCAGAAAAAGCAUUCAAGCAUAUCUCAGAAUCCACAGAGUACAUUAAUCCUUGGCCUGGAUUCGUUUUAAUAUACCUGAGGACUUUAUGAGCAGCCUGCAAAUGAAUAUCAGAUGGUGCAGAGAUGAACUGACUUAGCUGAUGAACUGCAUAAGUGAUAUCAGGUCUGGUUAUGGUGAGAUAUAACAAACGUCCAAUAAGCUCUCUGUAUGAAGUUGGAUUAGGCAAAAGAGUUCCCAUAUCUUUGACCAAAUGUAGAGUAGGAUCCAUAGGAACAGAGCUUGGUUUGCAUCCAGUUAAACCCGCAUCUUCCAACAAAUUCAUUGCAUAUUUCCUUUGACAAACUGAGAUUCCUUUGGAUGAUCUUGAAAUCUCCAAACCAAGAAAGAAUCUAGCAGGGCCAAGAUCUUUGAUUUUAAACUCAGAUCUUAACAAGGUCUUCAAAUUCUCCACUGCUACAUCAUCAUUGCUGGCUAUCAUAAUGUCAUCAACGUACACAAGAACAGCAAUAAUAGAACCAGAGAUCACUUUAACAAAUAAAGUGUUGUCUGCAGGAGAUUGUAUGAAGUUUGCACCCAAUAAGACUGAAGAAAAUCUCUUAUACCAUUGACGAGAAGCUUGCUUCAAGCCAUAGAGAGAUUUUAACAGUCUACAUACCGGAUUAGGAGGAAGCUUGAUAUGUGAUGGUGGUGUAUAACCUUGAGGAAGACUCAUAAAAAUUUCCUCAUCAAGUUCCCCAUGUAAGAAAGCAUUUGAUACAUCCAUCUGCGUCAAAGUCCAACCCUUAGCAGCCGCAAGACCAAGCAUUAGUUUGACACUAGUAAGCUUUGCAACAGGAGAAAAUGUGUCUAGAAAAUCAAUCCCUUCCUGUUGAGUGAACCCUUGGGCCACUAGUCUUGCCUUAUAACGUUCUAUUGAGCCAUCAGGGUUGUAUUUGAUAGUAAAGACCCAUUUACAUCCUACCACAUUCUUACCCGGAGGCAAUGACUCAACAACCCAAGUCUUGUUAAGUUCCAUAGCCUGUAACUCUUCAUCAGCAGCCUUAGUCCAUUUUUCAGAUUUCAUAGCUUGAGCAAAAGUCUUAGGCUCUGUUUCUGUAUUAUAGGCUAGUAUAUAGGAUUGGAAAAGAGGUGUGUAUUUAUCAUAUGAGAUAACAGAAGAGAUGGGAUAUGGUGUAGUCUUUUUAGGUGAUGAAUUAUGAUUUUCUGUAGGGAUAGGAGAAAUAAGAGAACAGGAUGGUGGAUUAGUGUUUGUAGAUGGUAGUGAAGAAAUGAAAGGGACAAGGGCACAAUGAUACUCAGAGAGAUAAGCAGGAGCUUUAGUGUUACGUUUAGGCCUAGCAAUGGGUACAGUAUUAAGGCCUAAAUCCUGUGUUUCUGCAGUACUAGUAGGAAAUAUGGUACUAGGUAAUGCAGAUGCUGAUGAUGAUGCAUUACUAGUAUUAUUAUUAGUAGUAGUAACCAAAGAAUCCUCAUCAGUCAAUGGCAUUGUUUCUACAAAGUGUAAAGGUGCUGGUAAAGGCAAAAUUGUAUUAGGAAACAUGUCAACAGAUUUAGACAACAAAUCACUUGUUUUGAAAGGGAAAAUACUUUCUUUAAAAACAACAUUUCGUGAAAUAGAAAUAGCAUGUGAGUCUAAAUCUAAAACUUUGUAUCCCUUAUAUCCAGAAGGAUAGCCUAAGAAAACACAGGGUCUAGCACGCGGUGAAAACUUAUUUCUUUCAUGCAUAUUAGUAGAAACAAAACAAAGACAUCCAAAGUUCUUUAACAAAGUAUAAUCCGGAUUCUUUUUAAGCAAAAGUUCAAAUGGUGAUUUGUUAUUUAGCAGAGGUGAUGGUAAUCUAUUUAUCAAGAAAACUGCAGUUAAAACACAAUCACUCCAAUAUUGCAUAGGAACAUUUGACUGAAAAAGUAAAGCUCUUGCAACAUUAAGAAGAUGUUGAUGCUUUCUCUCCACAACAGAGUUUUGUUGGGGAGUAUAAGCACAAGAGAAGUAAUGAAUCAUACCUUGUUCUUUUACUAAAUCAUUAAAUCCUAAUUCAGGAGCAUUAUCAGAACGAAUAGCUUUAAUCUUUGUAUUAAACUGUGUAGAAACAAGUUUGACAAAAACAGGAAAGACUUUUGAAACUUCUUGUUUAUUUCUUAACAUAUAAACCCAAGUAGUUCUUGUACAAUCAUCAACCAAAGUAAGAAAAUAUCUAAAUCCUUCUAUAGAUUCAACACUAAAAGGACCCCAUAUAUCCAAGUGAACAAGAUCAAAUGGGUUUGAAGCUAAAUUGUUAUGAGAUAUGUAUGCUAGACGUUUCUGUUUUGCUAAAGGACAAAUGCAACAAGGUGAAGUUUCAGAAUCAAAAGAUUUUAAAGAGGGAAUGCUACUAACAAGUUUCUUUAAAACUAUAGAUGAUGGAUGACCUAAACGCUGAUGCCAAAGAAGUCCAUCAUCAAGAACUGAUCCAGAGAAAGAACAAGCUGCAGGUGUUGAUGUGGAGAGGGAAGUAGUUUCUGUCUCAAGAAUGUAAAGAUUGUGAUAAAGUCUACCCCUCCCAAUCAUCAAGCCCUGAGAAAGUUCCUGGAUAAAGCAACAAUUAACAUAGAAAUGAGCUGAACAUGAUAAAGUUUUUACCAAAGAACUAACACUGAUCAAAUUAAACUUGAAAUCUGGAACAUGCAAAACAUUAUGCAGUAUGAGUUUAUGAGUAAUAUGAAUAGUACCUAUAUGAGUAAUAGAAACCCUAGUACCAUUUGGCAAAGUUACAGUCACA
Molecule: long non-coding RNA, 10967 nt
Filed under: Arabidopsis lyrata
Lineage: Eukaryota; Viridiplantae; Streptophyta; Magnoliopsida; Brassicales; Brassicaceae
Description: long non-coding RNA (ALYR_LNC000872)
Source: RNAcentral